AUAAAAAAUCCUAAAAACUAAACUAAGACUAACCUAAGAUACUAUCAAUAAUGAUACUCUGAACACAAGUUUUCUU
Molecule: small RNA, 76 nt
Filed under: Arabidopsis thaliana (thale cress)
Lineage: Eukaryota; Viridiplantae; Streptophyta; Magnoliopsida; Brassicales; Brassicaceae
Description: ATSL307990
Source: RNAcentral